AGAACGAACGCUGGCGGCAUGCCUAAUACAUGCAAGUCGAACGAACACUUCGGUGUUAGUGGCGCACGGGUGCGUAACGCGUGGGAAUCUGCCCUUGGGUUCGGAAUAACAGUUGGAAACGACUGCUAAUACCGGAUGAUGACGAAAGUCCAAAGAUUUAUCGCCCAGGGAUGAGCCCGCGUAGGAUUAGCUAGUUGGUGAGGUAAAGGCUCACCAAGGCGACGAUCCUUAGCUGGUCUGAGAGGAUGAU
This 250-nucleotide ribosomal RNA is filed under the name uncultured soil bacterium. RNAcentral describes it as "partial 16S ribosomal RNA". It matches the Rfam family "Bacterial small subunit ribosomal RNA", at positions 26 to 304 of the family's 1533-position model. The record is from RNAcentral.